UUCCAGACUCCUACGGGAGGCAGCAGUGGGGAAUAUUGCACAAUGGGGGAAACCCUGAUGCAGCGACGCCGCGUGAGUGAAGAAGUAUUUCGGUAUGUAAAGCCCUAUCAGCAGGGAAGAUAAUGACGGUACCUGACUAAGAAGCCCCGGCUAACUACGUGCCAGCAGCCGCGGUAAUACGUAGGGGGCAAGCGUUAUCCGGAUUUACUGGGUGUAAAGGGUGCGUAGGUGGCAUGGCAAGUCAGAAGUGAAAGCCCGGGGCUCAACCCCGCGGACUGCUUUUGAAACUGUCAGGCUGGAGUACAGGAGAGGUAAGCGGAAUUCCUAGUGUAGCGGUGAAAUGCGUAGAUAUUAGGAGGAACACCAGUGGCGAAGGCGGCUUACUGGACUGUAACUGACACUGAGGCACGAAAGCGUGGGGAGCAAACAGGAUUAGAUACCCUGGUAAG
RNAcentral lists this ribosomal RNA (449 nucleotides) under uncultured bacterium. RNAcentral's name for it is "bacterial SSU rRNA". It matches the Rfam family "Bacterial small subunit ribosomal RNA", at positions 329 to 793 of the family's 1533-position model. The record is from RNAcentral.